This 253-nucleotide ribosomal RNA is filed under the name uncultured bacterium. RNAcentral's name for it is "partial 16S ribosomal RNA". It matches the Rfam family "Bacterial small subunit ribosomal RNA", at positions 524 to 776 of the family's 1533-position model. The record is from RNAcentral.
UACGGGGGGGGCAAGCGUUGUUCGGAAUUACUGGGCGUAAAGGGCCAGUAGGCGGCCAACUAAGUCGGAUGUGAAAUCCCCAGGCUCAACCUGGGAACUGCAUCCGAUACUGGAUGGCUUGAAUUCGGGAGAGGGAUGCAGAAUUCCAGGUGUAGCGGUGAAAUGCGUAGAUAUCUGGAGGAACACCGAUGGCGAAGGCAGGUCUCUGGGCCACUACUGACGCUGAGAAGCGAAAGCAUGGGGAGCGAACAGG